CUCUUCAUUUGCUCGAGAUGAUUGUCUACUAUCUUUGUUUAGAACAAUCUAGGAUUGGCCGUACAUCUUUUCUGGUUUACUUAUCCUAUUCCAAAGUACCCUAUUACAAUAUGUAUGCAGCAGUUGAAUGAUUCCACUUCUGCAGUUUGUUGCUCUUCAUUUGCUCGGGAUGGCAUCUCAGCUUGCCCAUAAUGUUUCCAUGUUCUUAUAGUAAUCUUCAGCAGUUUAUUUUGUGAACUAAGAUCCCUGGAGUUCAUACAACUUAUGAGCUUGCAUUUUUGUCUCGCCUCUAAUACUCGAAUUUCUUUGCAGCUGGUUUCGAUCUCCCUAGGUGUGUUACCUCACCUGUUAUGUUGCUGUGCGAUUGUUGUUCAAUACAAUUGCCUCUUCGCCGCCUUUCACAAGUAGCCUUAACAAAUAUUUCUUAGUUAAAUGCUUGCAGAAGAUGUGUCACCCUUAAUUAAGGGUAUUUCUAUUUGGAAUAAAUCCCAACACAACUAUGUUUUCAUUCUUCAUCUCUGCAGCCUUGCCCGCUGGGUCGCUGAUUAUGCUGGCAUAGGUUUCCUAUGUCGUUGGGUAACCGCUGCUGCUGGAGUACAGGUGGCUGACAUCCAUCAAUCAAUCGACAUAAGGUUUUAGCCAUGAGCGUGGUUGAGAUUCCAUCCUUGGUCAUGAUGAAGGUAGCUUUUAAAGCCAUUGUAUAGCAGUAUAUCCAUGAAAAGGAAGAGCGAAGUUCUUCAAGCAAGCAGUACUGCCUGUAUAGUUACAACCAUGUAGUAAGACAUGUUGUAGUACUAAUAGAGAUUUACAUAGUGUUUCACCCAUCGGAUACCAUCAAUUUCUACAGAUGCUUAAUAUAGUGUUUUAUAAAUUGUUUGCAAAUAA
This is a long non-coding RNA of Lolium rigidum, 885 nucleotides long. RefSeq lists it as uncharacterized. The record is from RefSeq and is a predicted model, not a curated record. NCBI's taxonomy places the organism in Eukaryota, Viridiplantae, Streptophyta, Magnoliopsida, Poales, Poaceae. The transcript is spliced from 2 exons.